RNAcentral lists this unclassified non-coding RNA (86 nucleotides) under Pseudomonas reinekei. Lineage: Bacteria; Pseudomonadati; Pseudomonadota; Gammaproteobacteria; Pseudomonadales; Pseudomonadaceae. The record is from RNAcentral.
GUAGGAGCCGGCUUGCUGGCGAUGAACGAUAACGCGGUAGACCUGAUGCACCGCGUCGUCUGGAUCGCCAGCAAGCCGGCUCCUAC